CCUAACACAUGCAAGUCGAACGGGAAGCGGUGCAUAUUGCUUCGGUGAUAAUGUGCCGUGGAGAGUGGCGAACGGGUGCGUAACACGUAGGUAACCUGCCCUGAAAGGGGGGAUAACCACGGGAAACUGUGGCUAAUACCGUAUAAUCUCGCCGUGGCGGUGGUUACGGUGAGGAAAGCUGAGGCGAUUUGGGAGGGGCCUGCGGUCGAUUAGCUGGUUGGUGGGGUAAAGGCCCACCAAGGCGAUGAUCGAUAGCUGUUCUGAGAGGAAGACCAGCCACACGGGAACUGAGACACGGUUCCGACUCCUGCGGGGGGCAGCAGUGAGGAAUAUUGCGCAAUGGGGGGAACCCUGACGCAGCAACGCCGCGUGGAGGACGAAGGUUUUCGGAUUGUAAACUCCUUAACUGGGGGAAGAGAGAGGACGGUACCCCAGGACGAAGACACGGCUAACUAGGUGCCAGCAGCCGCGGUAAUACCUAGGUGUCGAGCGUUAUCCGGAAUUACUGGGCGUAAAGGGUGCGCAGGCGGUGUUACAAGUCCGGCGUGAGAGCUUCUGGCUUAACUGGGAGAGGACGUCGGAAACUGUAGUGCUAGAGUGAAUGAGAGGGGGGCGGAAAUCCCGGUGUAGUGGUGGAAUGC
This 641-nucleotide ribosomal RNA is filed under the name uncultured bacterium. RNAcentral's name for it is "bacterial SSU rRNA". It matches the Rfam family "Bacterial small subunit ribosomal RNA", at positions 47 to 689 of the family's 1533-position model. The record is from RNAcentral.